CUUGGUGCUACUUCUUUGUUUUCUUUACUUUUAUUAUUUGCUUAUGAAGAAUUGUGAUAGAGAGAAGUAUUGUUGAAACUGUGAUUAAAAUAUUGUGGAAUAUGACUUUGGACUGACCAUUUUGAAAAAAAUCUGUAACCUUGAGAAUUGAGAUUAUCGAAUUGUGUUGUGUUAAGUGAAGAUAUUGAAAUCUGUAUGAUGAAUUGAGAAACUAAAUAUAAUAAGUAAGCUAGAGAUCAGUAAUUGAAUAUAUAUAAACUGCAAAGAGAAUAAGUGGGAGAUGAACUGAUAAGAAUAUGGAAGUAUUGUUGAAUUGAUAUUGGUAGAAUGGAUUAUGUAUUGAAUUAAGACAGAAGUAUUAAGCCUUGGUGUUUUGUAAUUUGAUAAUUGAUUUCAGAUAGCUAGAGUAUAGUCAAUUGUGAUACUAACAGACAUAAUUCAUAUAACCAUUCUUUUUUUGUAUUCAAACGUACUUCUAUUAGUUCAAUUGCUUUGAUAUAUUGAAGCUUGAAUACAACGAGAACCACAUUUUGGCGCCGCUUCUGGAGAAAUGAUAACAAAAUGAAAUAUUAGAAAUUGAAUGUAUGAGAGAUGAAAUUAUAUGUUAAAUGAGAACGUAAAAAGAAUCAAUUUUAGGAUUACAAAUAUGUGAAUUAUAAUUCAAGGGAGUAUUGAUUUUGUAAAGAAGAAUGAAAGAUUAUGAGUGAUAA
Molecule: long non-coding RNA, 710 nt
Filed under: Physcomitrium patens
Lineage: Eukaryota; Viridiplantae; Streptophyta; Bryopsida; Funariales; Funariaceae
Description: long non-coding RNA (PPAT_LNC006578)
Source: RNAcentral